RNAcentral lists this non-coding RNA (604 nucleotides) under Aspergillus clavatus NRRL 1. Its description in RNAcentral is "Bacterial large subunit ribosomal RNA". It matches the Rfam family "Bacterial large subunit ribosomal RNA", at positions 1 to 866 of the family's 2925-position model. The record is from Rfam by way of RNAcentral. Lineage: Eukaryota; Fungi; Ascomycota; Eurotiomycetes; Eurotiales; Aspergillaceae.
GGCAAGUAUAUAAAGAAAUUAUUAUGGAUAAUUAGCUAUAUAUUAAAGAAUAUCUAGUCAAUCUAGUUUCUAAGAGAAAUCAGAUAAUAAACGAAGUGAAUUGAAAUAUCUUAGUAACUUCAGGAAAAGAAAUCAAACGAGAUUGUUAUUUGGUGUAAACUAAAUAACAAAAGCCUAAAAACAAAACUUGUUAAAGUAAAACGGAUUAAAGUCUGUUUGAAUAAAGGGGAACCUUCCUCUAAGGCUAAAGAUGAUAUAUAAGCGAUAGUGAAAAGUACCGUGAGGUAAAAUUUGAAAUAGUAAUUUUAUAAGCAGCUCGAGUGAAAUUUAAAUAAAAAAUAAGAGCGUACCUUUUGCAUAAUGGGUCAGCAAGUUAAUUUUAGAUGCAAGCAAUGAUUUCAUGCACUUCAGGCAUGAAACUAGCUUAGAUAAACCAAUUAUGAAAAAAUGAAUAAGUAUCUAGAAUUAGACCCGAAGGCUAGUGAUCUUACCAUGGUCAGGGUUAUAAAAGCCCGAACGGGUUAUCGUUGUAUAGAUAUCCGAAGAACUGUGGUAAGCUAGUGAAAGACAAAACUGACUAGUAUAGCUGGUUUUCCGCGAAACC